GUAAAGAGAUGCUUUCAGUCAGCUAAAAUCAAAUUCCCGACAUUACAUAUUACAAAAGGCUGUGAACAGCUCCAGGAUAGACGACAUACCAGGAUAAGAAACUACAACGCAGAAAAAGAAAAAAGUACAAUACAAGAAAGUUGUGCUUCAAGCUUCUUUGCCGGUAUCCUGGACAAAGUUGGGAGGGUUUACGAUACAGUCUCCUCACGAGGAUUCUUCUAGCAUUGUUACCUCCCGACUCGAUCGCAAAGACUGCGGAGGAAAGUUGCAUCCGGGUGUUCUUCACGAGAAUUCUUCUGGCAUUAGACUUCUAAGUGGACGCUACUCCUAUAAAAAACUACAAACUUCAAGCCUAAA
Molecule: long non-coding RNA, 357 nt
Filed under: Setaria italica (foxtail millet)
Lineage: Eukaryota; Viridiplantae; Streptophyta; Magnoliopsida; Poales; Poaceae
Description: long non-coding RNA (SITA_LNC006140)
Source: RNAcentral